AUUUCGUGAUAAGGGCAUCUUCGUCAUAGUUCUUUAAACCUUUCCUAUGCCUCAUACAAAGACUCGUCAUCCAUCUGUUGGAAAGUACUGAUCUCGUUCCUUAACUU
Molecule: non-coding RNA, 107 nt
Organism: Gossypium raimondii (Peruvian cotton)
Lineage: Eukaryota; Viridiplantae; Streptophyta; Magnoliopsida; Malvales; Malvaceae
Source: Rfam